This is a non-coding RNA of Cajanus cajan (pigeon pea), 997 nucleotides long. Lineage: Eukaryota; Viridiplantae; Streptophyta; Magnoliopsida; Fabales; Fabaceae. The record is from RefSeq and is a predicted model, not a curated record.
UGAAGUUGCCAGUUUAAUUCUUUCUUAAUCUAAGUUUUGACCCCUGGCUACUUUUUUUUGUUUUUUCUCCCGAUUUUCUAAAGUUAGUGUAGUGGCGUUUACACGCUUUUAUGAUUUUUUUUUCCUUCUUUUUUUGUAAUUAUGUGGUAACUUGUUGAACUUAUCGUGUAGGUAAAAUUGGGUCGCCAAAGCUGAAUUUUGGCUGCUGACCAGAGAUCACAAUUUAAAAAGUUAUUUAUGGCAUGUAUUAAUGAUUUACCGUAUUAAUUUUCCUUACCUUUUUUUUAAAAUAAAUUUAAAAAGAAUUACUUGUAAUGAAUGCGAGGUGGCAUAAGUUUCCCGAAAAAUGGGAACAGAAAAGAAAAGAAAAGAAAAACAUGAUAUGUUAUCCUGUUUGUACGGUUAUAAGCACCGGAACAAGGCUUCAUCUACCUGAAAUUUUAUUGUCAAAACUAUAUUGAAAUUUGAACGGUGCUUAAAAUCAUUCUGUUUGGGACAUGGAAUGGCAUCAUAACGAUAAAUUAUUUAAAUUAAUACAUAUGCUUCCACUAAUUUGUCUCGUGAAAUUUUUUUCAAGCAAGUACUAGAGUAAAAAUAUGAUGACUAGUGGCUCUUGCAAUUUUCAUUUUCAAACUUGAAUUCCAAAUAAGAUGUAAACAGUGUCAUCAACAUAUGUCCUUUAGAUUAUGUGUUGACCUGGAUUAACAUGUCUGCAAACCUUCUUUAUUUGAUUGAAAUAGGACAUUACCCGGAGACAAAUUCAUGCUCUGAUUCUUACUCCUGAUUUUUUGUCUACUGUAGUUCUGCUUAUGAACAAUCAACGUAUUGUGAUAUGUUCCACUCAAAUGAUUCUGGUUGGAGAGAAUGCACUUCAUGUGACAAGCGUCUCCAUUGUGGAUGCAUUGCUUCUAUGUCUCAGCUUGAAUUAUUAGAUAUUGGUGGUGUAAGCUGUAUAAACUGUGCAAGGAAUUCAGGAUUGCAACCUAUUGCAAGCAAC